GACGAACGCUGGCGGCGUGCCUAAUACAUGCAAGUAGAACGCACAGUUUAUACCGUAGCUUGCUACACCAUAGACUGUGAGUUGCGAACGGGUGAGUAACGCGUAGGUAACCUGCCUGGUAGCGGGGGAUAACUAUUGGAAACGAUAGCUAAUACCGCAUAAUAUUAAUUAUUGCAUGAUAAUUAAUUGAAAGGUGCAAUUGCACCACUACCAGAUGGACCUGCGUUGUAUUAGCUAGUAGGUGAGGUAACGGCUCACCUAGGCGACGAUACAUAGCCGACCUGAGAGGGUGAUCGGCCACACUGGGACUGAGACACGGCCCAGACGCCUACGGGAGGCAGCAGUAGGGAAUCUUCGGCAAUGGACGAAAGGCUGACCGAGCAACGCCGCGUGAGUGAAGAAGGGUUUCGGAUCGUAAAGCUCUGUUGUAAGAGAAGAACGGGUGUGAGAGUGGAAAGUUCACACUGUGACGGUAUCUUACCAGAAAGGGACGGCUAACUACGUG
RNAcentral lists this ribosomal RNA (505 nucleotides) under uncultured bacterium. Its description in RNAcentral is "partial 16S ribosomal RNA". It matches the Rfam family "Bacterial small subunit ribosomal RNA", at positions 28 to 507 of the family's 1533-position model. The record is from RNAcentral.